RNAcentral lists this long non-coding RNA (12345 nucleotides) under Vigna radiata. Its description in RNAcentral is "long non-coding RNA (VRAD_LNC001235)". Lineage: Eukaryota; Viridiplantae; Streptophyta; Magnoliopsida; Fabales; Fabaceae. The record is from RNAcentral.
AUAGCUUCUUCUGGAUGUUAGAGAGAGAAGCUGAUCGAAGCUCUCUGCAACCUUAGGAGCACGGCGGAUACGAGAGUGGAAGAAGGCGAUGUUGGUGAGAACAAGUAAAGAGGUAAGAAAAAUGCUAUCUUUCUUUAUUUAUGUGAAAGUGAAUGUUUCGUUCUUUUUCUUCUUACAAAAAAGAUGGGGAGAGCUCUAUUUAUAGAGCUCUUUGGGGAAACACUGGGGUAACUUACAUAACAAGGAAAAACUAACAAAUAAAAGGUUGAUUACUGUCAUUUUGACGGUAGUCUAAAACUUAAUAGCCUCUCCUCAAGUUGUAUGUUGUAUACUCACCAAGCUAAGUUUGGGAACUAUAGAUAUGAACCUAACACAGUGGGGAAACUUGGUGAAGAUGUCGGCCAACUGUUCAUCGGAUCAGACAGGAAGAAGAUGCAGAAGAUUUGCCUGUAUCUUUUCAUGAACAACAUGGCAGUCAAGCUCUAUAUGCUUAGUCCGUUCAUGAAAGCUCUGGUUAUGAGCUAUGUGUCUUGCUGACUUGUUGUCACAAUAUAGAACCGAGGUCCCUGCUUCCUGUAUGUGAAGGUCUUUUAGUAGAUAGUGAAUCCACUUUAUCUCACAUACAAUGGCUGCUAAAGCAUGAUAUUCCGCUUCGGUGGAGGAUCUGGAUACAGUUCUUUGCUUCUUAGAUUUCCACGAAAUGAGAGAUGAUCCAAGUAAAACACAAAAUCCCGUAGUGGAUCUUCUAGUAUUCAGACAUGUUGCCCAAUCUGAGUCGCUAAAAGCCUUUAGAUGUAUUAGAGAGUCAGCGACAAAGAAAAAUCCUUUUGAAGGCUUAAAUUUUAUAUACCUGAGGACAUGUUGGACAACAUGAUAAUUAUAGUUAGUGGGAAAUUGGAUGAAUUGACUAAGUAAAUUAACGGAAAAACACCAAUCAGGUCUGGUAUUAGUGAGAUAGAGCAACUUCCCUGUCAAUCUUUUGUAGGAAUCAGGGUCAUCUAGGUAGUUGUCCAUCUUAUACAACGAACUUGUGUCACUCAAGAAGGGGGUAAUGGAUGGUUUGCACCCCAGCAUUCCUGUUUCCUCAAGAAUGUCCAAGGCAUACUUUCUUUGGCAUAAAUGAAUCCCUCUUUUAGAUCUGGCCACUUCCAACCCUAGGAAGUAUUUAAGUUCUCCUAGAUUCUUUAUUAUGAACUUUUUGUGCAAAAGUUCCUUUAUGUGAUUGAUUUCUGCCAUGGAGUUUCCUUCCAACACAAUGUCAUCAACAUACACAAGUAGGGCAGUGAAACCUGUAGGUGUUCUUUUGAUAAACAAUGAGUGAUCAGAUUUAGAUUGAGCAUAAUCAACAGAAAUGAGAAAAGAAGAUAAUUUCUCAAACCAUUGCCUGUUGGCUUAUUUCAGCCCAUAUAGGGACUUGGUUAGCCUACAAACUUAACCCUUUUUAUGGACACCAAGACCAGAUGGUGGCUCCAUGUAAACCUCUUCAUUUAGGUCCCCAUGUAGAAAGGCAUUGUCUACAUCAAGUUGAUGGAAAAACCAAUUAUUUGUGGCUGCAAGGGCAAUAAGCAAUCUCAUAGUAGUGAGCUUGGCCACGGGAGAAAAGGUGUCCAGGUAAUCUAUUCCUUCCAGUUGAGUGUAUCCUUUUGUUACCAAGCGAGCUUUAUACCUUUCUAUAGUACCAUCAGCCUUAUAUUUGGUUUUAUACACCCAUUUACAACCUAUGGGGGUUUUUCCCGGGGGUAGCUGUGUCAAAUACCAUGUGUCAUUGUGUUGUAGGGCUUUGAUUUCUCUCUACAUAGCUUCUGCCCAUUCAUGCAUGCCUUUUGCUUCAUUGUAAGUUUGAGGUUCAUUAGUCCCGGUGAUAGCCAUGGUGUACUUCAAGUGUUUUUCUGACAAAUUAUCACAACACAAUAGAUUAGAGAUCGGAUAUGGUGUUUUAAAACUAUUUUUCAUAGAUAAGGAUUAAUUAACCUGAUGCACAUAGUUAUUUAGAUAUCCUGGAGUCCUUGUAACCCUGUUAGACCUUCUGUAGCUAUGAUUUUCUUGAUUCUUAUCUGUGUUGUCAUUGUUAUCUUUGUCAUCAGCCAUCUGGUGUCUCUCUCUUUGGUUAUCAACAUCUAUCUCAUCAUGUUUUUUAUCAUCAGUGUGGUUGUGGUCACCUAGAAGGUCAUUGAGAGAAGCAAUUUGGUCUUCUUCAGUGUCAGCAGUUUCUCUAUCGCCUUGCUGACUUUUGUAGGGGAAGAUGUCUUCAUAAAAGACAACGUUUAUGCUUAUAAGAAGCUCUUUGGUGUUGAUAUCUAGAAUAAUGUAACCCUUGACACCACUCUUGUAGCCAAGGAAAAUUCCUUUUCUAGCUCUUGGAUCAAGUUUACUCCUGUUGUUCUCAAGAGUCGAAGCAAAACACAAACAUCCAAAAGUUUUGAGGUCUAAAUAGGUAGGGGGGAGGUCAUAGAACAGGUCGUGGGGUGUCUUGUUACCAAGAAUGGGAGAAGGAAACCUAUUUAUUAGGUAGACCGCAUGACUAACAACAUAAGACCAAUAUGCAUUAGGAAUAUCAGAUUGGAAGAGAAGACCACAAGUCACAUUAAGUAUGUGUUGAUGCUUUCGCUCCAUAACAGAAUUUUGUUCAGGAGUUUCAACACAACUCCUUUGGUGAUUGAUGCCAUGUAAAUCAUAAAAAUUCUCACAAUUAAAUUCAGGUCCAUUAUCUGAUCUAAUAGUUUUAAUCAUUUUGUUAAAUUAAUUUUUAACCUUAACAAUAAAAUUCCGCAGAAAUUUCUAGUUUGGCCCUUAUUGUUCAUUAAAAAAAUCCAAGUUUGUCUACUAUAGUCAUCAACUAUGGUGAGAAAGUAUCUAUGACCAUGAACAGAAAUAGUGGAAAGAGGACCCCAUAUAUCACAGUGGUUGUAGAAAUACUUCUAGAAAAAGGUAGUUUGUGUUGUUUAGCAUAGUGGCAGGUGAUGUUUCUGCAAAACCAACGGCAAGUGCACCGGUCGCAGCGUAGCAAGUGAUAAAUAUCGUUCUCUCCCAAGGGACUUGUGCAACACAUGACAAUUCUUCCUUUUAUAACUCAAUUAGACAACAAAGUGCACAAAAACAACGCAAGAAACUCUUUUUGGUAUUUUAUCAAACAGUUGGUGUGCAAGGAAUUUAACAUAGCGUAUUUAUAAUUUGUCAAGACUAGAAUUCAUCCAUUUCAUUCUCAUGCAUUCACAAACAUCUCAAUUNNAUNNAAUAAGUAUUCAAUUUCAAUUCUAGGUUCAAUCAUAUUUCUCAAUACUUCAAGAACCACAAUUCAUGCCAUGGGUGAUCAAGCCACAACAAGCAUUAAGCGUAGAAAUCAAAUACUAACAUGAAUUGGAAAAGCAUAUAUCAUUAACAUCACAAAAUACAUAAGAAUUCCAUGUUUUACAACUAAUCUCAACAAAUAGGAAAAGCCCUCCAUGGAGGAGAACUUAGGGUUCACAAAAUUGAAGAGAUAAGGAAGAAAUUGAAACCAAAGAGAAGAUGCAAAGCCUUUCCCAAGGUUCUUGGCAGCUGCUCCAUGCUCCAUUUGCGCCUCCCCUUCGCAUCUCCAUCUCCAAUUUGUGACCCAUCUUUUUCCUUAACCCAAAAGGGGCAAAAUCACCAUUGAAGAAGCUUGAAGACCCAAGGAGGAUUGGGAGAGCUUCCCAACACCCCAAAUAGCCUCUAAGGGCCUCUCCCAAUCUCUCUAGGUGAAUAAUGAAGUGUAGGAGGAGAAGUCUCUCAAAAAUCCCGAGAGCCAUGUUUAAAUAACCAAUUUUUGACAUAUCAGCGAGAACUCGCGCCCAGCUCGGAUUCCUGGCGCCCAGCGCCACUUUUCACUGCAUCAGAUGUGAAAAACAGCAAGAUCUCGCGCUCAGCACCAAUUCCUGGCGCCCAACGCGGAUUCUCUCUACAGCUCUGGCACCCAGCUUGGAAUUCUAGCGCCUAGCUUGGAUUUCUCUGCAACUCUGGCGCCCAGCUUGGAUUUCUAGCACCCAACUUGGGCGGUUUUGACAGCAUUCGAAAAUUUAGGCUCCUGUGCGAUUCCAAAGGCGUCCAACAUGGGUAUUUGCUUCAGAUUGAUCUUUUAUUGUCCCAAAACAUGUUCCCUUGAGUUCUUGCAUGUUUUCCUCCACUAGAAUUGCUUCCUAUUCCUUUAUUUCACACACUCAAACAUAGAGAUUAGAGGUAAAAACAAGCAUAUACUAAAUAAAUACAAGAAAACUAGAAAACACACUAAACGUAAGGAUAAAACAAAGUAAAAGUUAUGAAGGAGUUGAUUUUGCCACUAAAAUGAUGCUUAAAUAAUGGUAAGAAUUAGCAUUAUCAGCAGGUAUCACAAACAAUGUCAAGACCCAUUUGCACAUAAGGAAACUUUUCACAUAUCUCUUUUACAACUUUGUGUCCAUGAUGGCCUAGCCUAUAGUGCCACAAAUUUACAUCAACAUUUCUAAAAGAAAAAGUAGACUUUGAAAUGAAAAUUUGGUCCAGAUUAGGGAAAGCUUGUAGGUAAUAAAGGCCUUUGCAAGAGUUAGUAUACCCAAUAAUCUUCAAUGUAGAAUUCUCCCUUAUCUUACAAGUCUCAGAAGAAAAGGUUAGGUUGCAGUUUAAGUCUUUAAUAAGACUUUGGACAGAGAUUAGAUUAAAGCAAAAAUCUGGAAUAUAUAAAACAUUAAAAAUAACAAAGUCUUUAGAAAAUUGCACGAUUCCUGCAUGCUCAGUAGUGAGUGCAGUGUUAUUUGGAAAUCUGAUAGAGAUAGCCUUGAUUUUUUAAAAAGUGAUAAAAUUUAUUUUAUCAUGUGUCACAUGAUCUGUGGCACCAUUGUCAAUAACCCAAGAGAGAUUACCUUGUUUGUUUUAUGUGUUGUCUCUCUGUACUUGAUUGACCUUGUGAAUGGGUUCAUCAACCUUCUCCAUCAUUUUAAGGAGUUUCUGCAUCUGUUCUGGGGUAAAGGAAUUAAAGCUAGUAUUGUUGUUGGUUUGAUGAGUGUUCUGCAUACCUUCUGGGCAAGGAUUGCUCUAGCAAGCAUUGGCAGAGCCCCAAUCACCCUUUUUGUCUUGAUUGUUGUCACCCUUCUUAUACUAAGGUGGGUAACCGUGCUUAGAAUAGCACUCAUCCAUAGUGUGGUUCAUUUUGUUACAGUAGGAGCACUGUUUUCCAUAGUUGGGGUUCCUCCCCUUUCCUCUUCCAUGACCAUGCUGCCCAGCACCACAUCCUUGGCCUUUCCAGGUCUGGUCAGGUUUCCAGUAACCUCUUCUCUCAACAAUAUUAGCCAGGAUUUUGGUUUCAGUAAUGGCCAAGCCUGAGUCUUGUCUUCUUUGGCUCUCUUGUUGCAUUAUCAGUAAGAAAACUCGAUUGAUAUUGGGGAAAGGGUCCAUCAAAAGGAUUUGGGUCCUCACGGUGUUGUAGGUAUCCUUUAGCCCCUUCAAGAAACAUAUGACAUGCUCCAUUUCUCUGUACUUCAAAGAAAUCUUGGAGAGCUCACAACUGCAUGGGAUGUUACAGGUACAAGUGGGUAUGGGUCUUAAGGAUUCUAAUUCUUACCAGAGAAUCUUUAAAUAUGUGAAAAACUGAUUCACUCCUCUCUUCCCUGUUUGAUUGAAUGAAUAUCCUGGAGUAAGUCAGAAAUUUUAAAAUAAUCACCCUUGGCGAAUCUUUCCUUUAACUCAUCCCACAGUUCCUUUGCUUCUUCAACAAAUAUCACACUUUCUACAAUCUGUGGAGAAAGUGUCUUUAUUAUCCAGGAAAGAACCAUCAUAUUGCACCUUUCCCAAGCAUCAAACAAAUCCUCACUUCUUUAGGGUUUCUUGAUUAACCCAUCAAUGAAUUUCAUUUUUAUUCUUGGAAAGCAGGGCUCUUCUCAUGUUUCUGCUCCAAGAAGAGUAAUUAUUUUCAUUUAGAACUUGAGUUAUAAGGGUGAGUCUUGGGUUCUCCCCUGGGUGUAGGUAGAAGGGACUUACUGGGUUAAUUGAUUGAUCCAUUGGGAUAAUUGACUGAUCCACUCGUCUAGCUGAUUGAUCCUGGUCUGAUUGAUCUUUAGCUGAUUGAUCCAUGGCAGAAAGAAAUAAUACGAGACCCAGAAAUUAUCCAAGAAAAACCAAGAAAUAGUCCAAGAAGAUACCAAGAAUGAAGACAAGGGCAACGGAAGUAGAGCAGGUAUUAAACCUGCUCUAAUACCAUAUUAGAAAUAUGGCCCAUAUAAUUUUGGUUGGGAAAACGGCCCAAUACGCUUGUGGCCCAUAAAGGAGAUAAAAUAUCUCUUGUCCACCUUUGCCGACAGAGAAAAGUUUCCACCUGUGUGUGAGUUAGCGAGAGAAUCCUCGAAGCUUCUUUUGGAUGUUAGAGAGAGAAGCUGGUCGAAGCUCUUUGCAACCUUAGGAGCAUGGCGAAUGCGAGAGUGGAAGAAGGCGAAGUUGGUGAGAACAAGUAAAAAGGUAAGAAAAAUACUAUCUUUCUUUAUUUAUGUGAAAGUGAAUGUUUCGUUCUUUUUCUUCUUACAAAAGAGACGGGGAGAGCUCUAUUUAUAGAGCUCUUUGAGAAACACGGCGAUAACUUACAUAACAAGAAAAAACUAACAAAUAAAAGGUUGAUUACUGUCAUUUUGACGAUAUUCUAAAACUUAAUAAUAUAUAUAUAUAUAUAUAUAUAUAUAUAUAUAUAUAUAUAUAUAUUAUAGCUUAGUAACACAUUAUAUGUAAAAAGCAUGGAAAAUAGGAGUUGUUAUUCGGUGGACUUUAAGCGCGGAUCUAUUCACCUUUUAGCAUUGCUGCCAUUUUGAUUCCUAUAAAGUUAACAAUAGUGGUGGAAAAUGGGUACUUUUUCAGUUUAAUUUUAACAUCUUUCAAUAUCUUAGAAUCCUCGUAGUACAUUUUAAGGACGUCUUUGAUGGUUUAUUUAUUUUCAUAUAAAAGUCUCUUUUAGGAUGUGUAAGUUACCCUUUUUUUUCUCAAGUCUUCUAAUAAGUCAAUUGAUUGGAAUAUAACUUUUGCCCUAAAACAGUUCUCAUCAUUUAUGUAUUCCACAAUUGCCAAAUUUGUGUUCGUACUAUAAAUCCAAAUUCAUUUCAUUUCAUAGCAAUUUCAUUGUGAUGCUAUUCAAUUUAUAGUUUUAUUUUAUUCAUUGUGUAAAUUUAAUAGAUAUUGUGAUAAAAAACCAUAAUAUACGGAUCUUGCUUAGCUGAAAUGCAUAAUAAAUAUACUAUAUGUACCUAUGGGCUCGACGCCUACUGGACCAUAAUGAUUUAGACUCGUCACCUAAGACUAGUCUCCAUUGUUCCAACUUUAUAGAGUGGUUUAAGAAUAGACUUGUAAAGACAUGGUCGGACGACAUAAGACGGACGAUCUGUCAAAAUUUGUUAUUUACGCUAGGACUGAGGUAAGAAGUGAUUAGGAUUAUUAGGUCGGGAUUAGGCCAUGAUUAAGAUUUCACUAAUCCUAUGUCCAUGACAAAAACUGUAAUUAUAGGUCAAAGGUAUGAGGCAGGUUAUUCACAUUUACUGCACAUUUAUUACCGUUCCAAAUUUACUGUACGGAUCAUACACUAACUUGAGUGUCAGAGAACCUUUGGCAAGUGCCUGACCGCUCGGCUUGGAGAAGAAGGAGACAAUAAGGUGAAAUCGGACGACAUUGAAGAACAAAUAUUGAAGGUGUUAGUAGUGACUCGACCUCGAAACCGAAACAUUUUGGCGCCCACCGUGGGACCAAGUGACUUGAUACCGAAUGGUGACCACGAGAAACAUGAGCAUAGAAGAUCUAGUCAAGAUGAUCAGGAUGAUGCAACAGAAGAUGGAGGAGAUGCAGCAGCGUCACGAGGCGGAGAUGGCGACCGUUAGAGAAGAGUGCUCGGUUUUGAUGGUUGUAAGACCCGAAAUAAAUACAAUAAACUAUAUUAUUUUUUUCCAAGAGAGAGUUUUUCUCAAAUAAAAAUGAAUCUUAUAGAAUUUAAUAUUUCUGUUGAAAUUAUGAUUAGUAAAUUUUAUUCACUAAUUUAAAGUUUUCUUUUAUAUAUAUAUAUAUAUAUAUAUAUAUAUAUGGAUGAAGAGGAAUUUAAAUACAAAAUUGAAUUCCACGACCUUGGAGGAGUAUCUGAUUGUUGUAUAAUAAUUAGUUCAACCAUAUUAUAUCAGAACCAUCCCAAGAGAUAAUAAAGAAAUGAAAAGAAAGAUUACUUUGGAAUACCCGAAACUAUACUACUUUGUCAGUAACUUACUAGUACAAAAAACACAUUUUAUGACGUACAAAAAUGACUUAUUAUGACGUAGUUGCUGGGGGUCAUAGUUCUGGGCGACAUAGUAAGUCUGCACAUAUUAUGACGUAGCAAAAAUUACGUCAUAAUAACUUGAACAUAUUAUGACGUAGCUAAAAAAAUAUGUCAUAAAAACUUGAUUUUUUUUUAAAAAAAAUUACAUGCUUACAUAUUAACAUCCAAUCAAUUUCCAAUUAAUUUUCGUGUUUUAUCAACUAGUCAAAUAAAUUUAUAAUCAAUAUAUUUGGAAGUGAAUAUAUUUUUGAUUGAAUAAACAAAAUAAAAUUCAUUUCAUAUAUUAAAUUGAUCAAAAAAUACAUCUUAGAUCCAAACACACAAGAAUAUUUACACCUCCAAAUAAACAACAUCUAUAUUCUUGUGCCUUAAGCGAGGUAGAAUCUGAACCUCAUUCAUGAACUGCAUAGUACACCUAGAGUUGCUUUCAUAAUGGCGUUUCAAUUCAGUUGUACGUCCAUCUUUGAGUUCACCUGUUUAACAAAUAUAAGAUGUAAAAGAAAAAAACAGUUAUCUUUCCAGGAAUCAUAUCCUAUGCAUCUUUAGAAUAAUUAUAUCAUUGUAUCAUAAACAUAUGGUAUGUGAUAGAUGAAUUGUAUAUGUGCAUCAUGGACAUGUAAGUUAUUUUGUUACCUUGGUAAACAAGGUCGAAACAUCCUUCACCAAAUUCUCCAGAAGCAUCAAAAUUUUUGAUAGCUUCCUCCAGUUCCUCAUUAAACAUUUGACUUUACCAAUCCAACCAGCAACAAAAACUCCCACAGCAAUAUAAACAAUAACUGCAAAGAUAAUUGCUCAUAAAAGACCAAUAAUCAAUAUUAAAUAAAUUAUACAAAUUUUUUCAUUAACUUAUAUAUGGUUUAUUGUCAUAUAUUUUUUUAUUAAAAAGUAUGAAGGGAUCUGCAUAAUACAUUAUAGGGUCAUUAAAUAACCAUUCAGUCUUUGUUAUUAAAUAACAACAUUAAAAACUAAGAUAAAAUAAGAUAAAAGAAAAACUAAAGUAGAAAGUAUAAUGAAGUGCUAAAGAAUUAUGCUCCCCUAAAAGGUUGAGUGAUGGUGAGCCAAAAUUUACGAAGAUAAUUGCUCCCCUAAAAAGUUUCCUUUUUUCAAAAUUUAAAUAAUAAAAUUAUUAAAAAGUUGAGAUAAACCACGAUAGCAGUAGAACAUGAAUUAGAACUUCAGCAUGCACAUUAUCAAGUGGAAAAGUAUGUUUGUAAGAUUCGUAAUAAAUAAAAUAAUUAUUGAUUUUAGUAUUUUAUUUAAUUGCGUGAUUUAUAAUUUUACAUGGUCAAUUGUGAUGUGUUAUUGGAUAAUGAAAUUAUGGUUGAAUGAAUAUGAAUUAUGUUUAAUUUCCUACAGCCUAGUAAGGCUUUUUAUUUUGAUGAGGUAUGGUGGGGUCCACGAAAGUGUGAUUGGAAAAGAGGUGGGUCAUUAUGGUGUUAUGGGAAGUAAGAGAGAGAAAGAGAAAACUGUUUACUAUUUUUUUGGAUACGUGAUAGGGUAGGAAAUAUAGGNGGGACUUGGUCUUUGGUUUUAUUUAUUAAGUAAUUAUUUUGUUUAGAGAGUGGCAUGCACAUAGAGGUAGUUUUUCUAACGGAUGCAACGGGAGAAAAUAAGGAAGUGGGUUUGAGCUUUAGGAUUUUUCUGAAGGCUUAUAAAUUAGCUUAGAGGAAAAGGAUAGAGUAAGAAAACAAAACCCUAGUUUUUGUGAGUGAAAAAUCGUGACUGGGAAGGACAGCUGUGGCAAGAAAGGUGAUCGUCAACGUUUUAUUUACAUCCGGAACAGUGAGGAAAUCCAAGGUAAGGGGAGUAACUAGUGUGUGUUUAUAUAUUGUGUGAUGUUCUUGAUCAUCUUCUUGCUUUACUUUGAAUCUUUUCCCCUUGUGGUUAAGAUGGGGUUGCCCUUAUCAGGUUAAUUNGGAUACAUUCCAGACUUAGGAGAAAGUCAAUGAAAUAAAUGUAAAGAUGUAUGCGUGUUUGUAGUACGUGAAAGAAUAGGGAGAAGAAAGUAGGUUGCAUANANAAGGGUAUAACUCUCUUGGUAUAGCGGGAUCUGUUGCGAGUUAAUGGUACAAAGAUAGUUUAGGGUACGAGGAGUAGUUCAGGAAAUAUCAUGUGAAAGUAGGGUUUGGGAAUGUUGUUACAUUGCAUGGCGUGGUGAUAAACGUUUCGUUUCUUUGAUUGUGAAACUGGUAGGGAGUAAACUGAAAUUCUCUGUGGUUGUAUAGGUUUUAAUCUUUUACUAUUAAUAAUGCUGGACGUGUAAUGUAUACCUUUUUAAAUAUAAGUGUAUGCUUCGUGAGAGAAUGGUGUAGUUGGAGGAGGGUCUGUGACCCUAUUCGGGUAAGGUGAAGGAGGAAAGGGUUGUUUGUGUGACAUAUGAUGGAGAGAUGUGUAAGGGGUCAUAACAGUAGUAAUAGAGAAAGAGAGAAAUUUUGGAGAAAGUUUUGGGUUGGAGUUUACGUUUACUAGUGGGGAAGUUGUCCGUAGGGAAGUUUAGUUUUUUUUCGCAUUCUGCAUGGGAAGGAGAAGUUCUGCAUCAUGGGCGCGCUAUAGUUCACGUGAAUGAGAGUGUUGUAUGUCCAAGUUGUGUAUGUUGCAGUAAAUGAGAAAUCAGUGAGUGUAUAAGAAGGAAAGGUGGUAGGUAUGGUAAAUAUUUUACAAUAGGAUGUACCCAGUAAUUGGACUUUUGCAUGCAGAAUAUAAAAAAAAAGGGGGUCACUUAGAUUGAAGUAUAAGGAAAAGGAAAAAGGGGUAUGAACCUUUCAUUUGCCACGGUCAUUUCAAUACUGGAAAGGCUUUACUAGUUUAGCUCCAGAGAAUAAUAUACUUAAGUUUAUAUAAUAUAAUAUAUUAAUAUAUUUUGAAUUUUAUAAAUUAUAUAAGUAAGCAGUAGGUAGUUACGUAACUUAACAUUAUUAUAAUAUAAGUUUUAUAUAUAUAUAUAAUAAAAUGUGGUUACGUGGUAGAUAAGGAAUUUUUUUUUAUUUUAUUUUAUACAUACGUCAGGUGGUAAAAAGGGGUGCUUUAUUGUGUAUCUAUAACAUGAUAAUUGUGUUUUCCGUUUCUUUGUCAGUGUUCUUCGUUUGGAAUUUUGUUAUGUUUUACGUUUUGAAUUUGAUGGUUAUAUGUAUAUUACUUAGAGUACAUGUGUAAGGGAUUGAGAUGUUAGUUAUAAAUCAAAUCUUAUGAUUCGUUAGCGAUGUGUGGUAUUGGAAAUAUGUAUGAAAAGUUUUGAGGUUGUGUUAUGAGUGUUGUAAUUGGUGAAUAAUGUAUAUUGUAGAGACUGUGUAUUUUGUGGUUAGUGCGAUAAAUCUUAUGAUUUGUGGAGGGAUGUAUGAUAAUGAGAAUGUGCAUGAAAUUGUGAUAUGAACAUGAAACUGUUAUUUCCUCAUACUUUUGUCGUUUUGUGUGGGCUUUUCGUGUUGCGAUACGAUAAGGAUUAUGGGUCUCGUAUGGAGACAAAGAUUCGAGUGUCACUUUCUUUUGCGAAAGGAGGUGAAUGUCUCGCCCAAAGGGCUUUUCGAUAAGUCGGGGAGAUAGGUCUGAAGUUGCGAUGGAGGACGACUCGAAUUGCCCUGUUUUGCGUAACAGGUUGGGACGACAAAGUACAAGGAAACAACAUCGGUUUAUGAAUGAAUUGAUUGUGAUAUUUUCUCUGGAGUAGACAUGCACUGUUUGACUUGUUAUAAUUUAUACUUAAUGCUUAUUUACUGUAUUAUAAGCUAUGACGAUAAUUAUAGUUACUCACCCUGAAAGUUUGUGGUUGUGGUUUCCACCUGCCAUGAUCGUACUUGUACGGGAGCAGAUGGCGUUGCAGAUGAUGCUGGAGUGCAGUAGUUCGACGAGAGGGGAAAAUUAGUUCUUUUGGGAUUUUAUUGAUUUCGUCAUUUAAAUUUUCUUUACAUAAUGUUUCGAUAAAGGUUAUGUUUUGAGUUUUGCGUUGUAAGAAUAGUGUUUAUGAUUCGUGAUUUUAGCUUCUGCGAUAUUAUUGGAAUAAAGUAUUUUUUUUUUAUUCGAAAAAAAUCGAGUUACAGCAAACUAUGUAAGGAUGAUAUUUUUUCUAUUUCACAAGUGACAUC